UAGGUGGCAUGUGUGAAGCUUGGUAGUGCAUUACUGUCAGUGUAAUCCAAUUAGUCUGAGCACAGCAAUGUUCAGGCUCCAAGCUGGUGUUGAGGGAAUUCUGUCUGCAUGCAUCCUACCAAAUGCUUCCCUGCUGUGCAUAAGAGCAUUAGCAACACUGCCUGGAUGCAGCAGACGUUAUUAUCACCUUUCCAUGAUGAAGGCAGGGGAUAACUGUAUCCCCUAGAACAUGGCGACUUAUGUAAAAAGAAUAGAAUAGUAACAGCAUGGAAGGGAUAGAGACAAUUUCAGUAAAUUAGAAUAGUUUAAUAAUAAGAAUAGAAUAGAAUAGAAUAGAAUAGAAUAGAAUAGAAUAGAAUAGAAUAGAAUAGAAUAGAAGAGUAAAAACAUGGAAGGGUUAGAACAUGGUAACUUCAAUGAACAGAAUAGAAUAGAAAAUUUUUCUAAAACAAGGAGGGUACACGAUUUGAGGCGAGAGCUUUAAUCCACGAGUGAACACACAGGCUGCAUUUUCCUUUUUGAGUCUGAGAACCCCGCCUCUUACACACACGGCAGCCUUAUCAUUCACAGGACUCCCCACGGUGAUGGAAACCGCAGAACUCCUCUUGAAUCACAUCUUCAGUUAUUACAGAAUCCCAGAAGACAUCGUAUGAGACCACGGACCCCAGUUUAUUUCCAAGUGUCUUCCCCUUCCUCAAGACUCCUGUGUGUACCUGCAUUCAAUACUCACCAUUCCCCAGCGAAGUGUGUGCAUCCAAUCUGCCUUCCUUCCGUUAAUCAACAAUCUCCUGGUCCUGUAAGAGAAAAACAUCCACAUUACCACUCUAUCCAUCUCAGUUAAAGUAUCUAUUGCUGUCAAUAAAUCGCCCUGUUGUCGGCGCUGAUGGCCUCAUGGGCAGCGCGCCGACAUGUAGCGCCAAUGCACUUCAGGCAACCCAAGUUCAGCUCAUGGUCCCUUUCCUGAUCCCGUCCCACUCUUUCUCUCCCACUUUGCUUCCUGUCUAAUCACUGUCCUAUCAUAAUAAAGGCAAAAAUGCCAAAAAUAAAUCU
This is a long non-coding RNA of Megalobrama amblycephala (Wuchang bream), 1050 nucleotides long. RefSeq lists it as uncharacterized. The transcript has 3 exons. Lineage: Eukaryota; Metazoa; Chordata; Actinopteri; Cypriniformes; Xenocyprididae. The record is from RefSeq and is a predicted model, not a curated record.